This 56-nucleotide transfer RNA is filed under the name Rattus norvegicus (Norway rat). It matches the Rfam family "tRNA", at positions 10 to 63 of the family's 71-position model. From Rfam's summary of the family: Transfer RNA (tRNA) molecules are approximately 80 nucleotides in length. Their secondary structure includes four short double-helical elements and three loops (D, anti-codon, and T loops). Further hydrogen bonds mediate the characteristic L-shaped molecular structure. tRNAs have two regions of fundamental functional importance: the anti-codon, which is responsible for specific mRNA codon recognition, and the 3' end, to which the tRNAs corresponding amino acid is attached (by aminoacyl-tRNA synthetases). tRNAs cope with the degeneracy of the genetic code in two manners: having more than one tRNA (with a specific anti-codon) for a particular amino acid; and 'wobble' base-pairing, i.e. permitting non-standard base-pairing at the 3rd anti-codon position. The record is from Rfam by way of RNAcentral. Lineage: Eukaryota; Metazoa; Chordata; Mammalia; Rodentia; Muridae.
GUUCAGCGGUAGAACAUUUGCCUGGCAUGCAGGAGGUCCUGGGUUCUAAUCCCCAG